Long non-coding RNA from Sycon ciliatum, 574 nucleotides. RefSeq lists it as uncharacterized. The transcript is spliced from 2 exons. The record is from RefSeq and is a predicted model, not a curated record. Lineage: Eukaryota; Metazoa; Porifera; Calcarea; Leucosolenida; Sycettidae.
CCUGGUCGUAGUUGAUCUGUGGUUUGUUUCUAAUCGCCAUUCAGCAUCGUGCCAGUCCCCGCUAGCUUUUACCGUUAGGUCAAUUAGGAGCCAAUUAUUUGUGGGUGGCGUCUUUCCUGCGUGGCACUCUACAGCCAAUGUGGUGAAUCUAUCUUUGCAAUACGAUUGCUAGCUUGGUUCGAUAGUGUAGUAUUUCAAGAUCGAUCGGUUGUUAGGUGAUUCUCAGCAGCACAUUUUAUUCUACCGUGGAUGUUCUCAUGCGUGCGUGAGCGAUGCCUUGCGGGACCCGCAUCAACUACUUCUCCUCGUGUCCUCGUCACGUUGCAUGAAAAACAGGGUGGUCUCUGAAGGCAACGAAGGAAGAGCCUAGCUUCACAGCAUGGGGAUUGCCGCCACAGAACCUCCUACACCACCUGAUCCGGAAGGUGGUGCCAGCGAGGCUGCAGCUGCGAGCAGCGCGGAUUCGCCUGGACCGCAGUCCCGAUGUCUGGGAACUUUCCAGCGGUUUGCGGCCCAGUUUGGCGAGGAUAUUCCGCAGAGUGAUAUGACGUACUAUGCGCCUCGGUGUUGUGCA